GCGGAAGAUGUAACGGGGCUAAAACUAUGUGCCGAAGCUGCGGAUGUAUACUUUGUAUACGUGGUAGGGGAGCGUUCUGUAAGCCGAUGAAGGUGUGUUGAGAAGCAUGCUGGAGGUAUCAGAAGUGCGAAUGCUGACGUGAGUAACGACAAAACGGGUGAAAAACCCGUUCGCCGAAAGACCAAGGGUUCCAGUCCAACGUUAAUCGGGGCUGGGUGAGUCGACCCCUAAGGCGAGGCCGAAAGGCGUAGUCGAUGGGAAAAUGGUUAAUAUUCCAUUACUUCUGUGUAAUGCGAUGAGAGGACGGAGAAGGCUAAAUCAGCCUGGCGUUGGUUGUCCAGGUGAAAGGAUGUAGGCAUGUAUCUUAGGCAAAUCCGGGGUACUCUAUGCUGAGAUCUGAUAGCAAGCUGUACUUGUACAGCGAAGUGGUUGAUGCCAUGCUUCCAGGAAAAGUCUCUAAGCUUCAGUUACACAGGAAUCGUACCCGAAACCGACACAGGUGGUCAGGUCGAGUAGACCAAGGCGCUUGAGAGAACUCUGCUGAAGGAACUAGGCAAAAUGGUACCGUAACUUCGGGAGAAGGUACGCUGUUGUUGGUGAUGGAACUCGCUUCCUGAGCUGACGACAGCCGCAGAAACCAGGCCGCUGCAACUGUUUAUUAAAAACAUAGCACUCUGCAAACACGAAAGUGGACGUAUAGGGUGUGAUGCCUGCCCGGUGCUGGAAGGUUAAUUGAUGGGGUUAGCGUAAGCGAAGCUCUUGAUCGAAGCCCCAGUAAACGGCGGCCGUAACUAUAACGGUCCUAAGGUAGCGAAAUUCCUUGUCGGGUAAGUUCCGACCUGCACGAAUGGCAUAAUGAUGGCGGCGCUGUCUCCAGCAGAGGCUCAGUGAAAUCGAAAUCGCUGUGAAGAUGCAGUGUACCCGCGGCUAGACGGAAAGACCCCGUGAACCUUUACUGCAGCUUGACACUGAACUUUGACCUUACUUGUGUAGGAUAGGUGGGAGGC
Molecule: ribosomal RNA, 1007 nt
Filed under: Acinetobacter baumannii
Lineage: Bacteria; Pseudomonadati; Pseudomonadota; Gammaproteobacteria; Moraxellales; Moraxellaceae
Description: partial 23S ribosomal RNA
Rfam family: Bacterial large subunit ribosomal RNA
Source: RNAcentral